AAGAAGGGCUUCUAUUGUGAGUGGCUCACGUAUGACAACUUGAUUGCUUUAUGUGCAAAAUCCACAGCAAAAGAUUUUGGAAGCAUGAUUUUUUAGUGCCUGGGCACCUGGUGAUCACUGGUUCUGAUGCCCAU
Molecule: small nuclear RNA, 134 nt
Organism: Molossus molossus (Pallas's mastiff bat)
Lineage: Eukaryota; Metazoa; Chordata; Mammalia; Chiroptera; Molossidae
Product: U11 spliceosomal RNA
Exons: 1
Source: RefSeq, a predicted model, not a curated record